CCCUUAGAUGUUCUGGGCCGCACGCGCGCUACACUGACGAUGGCAACGAGUUUUUCCUUCGCCGAAAGGUGUGGGUAAUCUUUUGAAACAUCGUCGUGCUGGGGAUAGACCAUUGCAAUUUUUGAUCUUGAACGAGGAAUUCCUAGUAAGCGCGAGUCAUCAGCUCGCGUUGAUUACGUCCCUGCCCUUUGUACACACCGCCCGUCGCUACUACCGAUUGAAUGGUUUAGUGAGGACUCCUGAUUGGCGCCGCCGCCCCGGCAACGGAGCAGCGGACUGCCGAAAAGUUGUUCAAACUUGAUCAUUUAGAGGAAGUAAAAGUCGUAACA
RNAcentral lists this ribosomal RNA (329 nucleotides) under uncultured eukaryote. RNAcentral's name for it is "partial 18S ribosomal RNA". It matches the Rfam family "Eukaryotic small subunit ribosomal RNA", at positions 1470 to 1796 of the family's 1831-position model. The record is from RNAcentral.